AGCGAACGUUAGCGGCGCGCCUAACACAUGCAAGUCGCACGAGAAAGGGAGCAAUCCCCGGUACAGUGGCGCACGGGUGAGUAACACGUAGAUGACCUUCCCUGGAGUGGUGGAUAACCUGCCGAAAGGCGGGCUAAUACAGCAUGGGACCACAUGGUUUUGACCGGGUGGUGAAAGCGGGCCUCUGUUCACAAGCUCGCGCUCUGGGAUGGGUCUGCGUCCCAUCAGCUAGUUGGUGAGGUAAUGGCUCACCAAGGCAUCGACGGGUAGCUGGUCUGAGAGGAUGACCAGCCACACUGGAACUGAGACACGGUCCAGACUCCUACGGGAGGCAGCAGUGGGGAAUCUUGCGCAAUGGGCGAAAGCCUGACGCAGCGACGCCGCGUGGGUGAUGAAGGCCU
This 401-nucleotide ribosomal RNA is filed under the name uncultured bacterium. RNAcentral's name for it is "bacterial SSU rRNA". It matches the Rfam family "Bacterial small subunit ribosomal RNA", at positions 29 to 417 of the family's 1533-position model. The record is from RNAcentral.